CACACAGAUCUGCUGUGACCGAGCUACAUGACCUUAAACGAGACAAAGAAUUCAUUCAUGCGUUUGUUCAACAAAUAUUCAUUAAGGGUCUACUAUGUGAUUCAUAUUCAGGAAACAGCAUUGAACAAAAUAAUAGAACUCUUCUCAUGGAACUUGCAGUCCCAUGAAGAUCGUAGAAAUGGAAAGACCCUUUGGGAUCACCCAGUCCAAUUCUCCCAUUGACAGAUAGAAAGACAGAGACCCACACAGAGGAAGGGAUUUGCCCAAAGUUACAUACACAACAAGUUGGUUAGUGGCAAAGCUGGACUAAAGCCCAGCUCUUCAUAUGACCCACUACAACAUUUCACAAAUGGGAA
Molecule: long non-coding RNA, 356 nt
Filed under: Homo sapiens (human)
Lineage: Eukaryota; Metazoa; Chordata; Mammalia; Primates; Hominidae
Description: LHRI_LNC1114.1
Source: RNAcentral